UUGUGCUUUUCCCAAGUCGCCUCACAGCAGUCAUCUGUCAAAGUGAGCUCUGGAGCUGACGGCCUACUUUACGUGUGGAGUAACUGCAGUCUGAGCUUCACCACUCCGAUUAGUUUCUGCUUUGUAAGCUCAGCUUCCGGUUCAGGGACCUCGCACGUGAACUGGGGAGACCUGCCGGGGCUCAGAAAUGACAGAAGUCAACACUUAAAGGCACAAGCACUUUUGGGCCUAACUCAGACAGCAAGAAGGCUGUUUUACUGGGCUGCGCCUCUCCUGAAGACUGCUGCUCUCCGGCCAUGUUCCUACAGCAGCCUCCAGAAGUGAAAAGCUUUGGCGAUCUUCUGCCGCAACAGAGGCAAUAUUGCAGUCGAACGACACAAAAGAAAUUCAGUGAAAAGACCUCGCAGCUCUGUCAGAUAACAUAAGCAUUCCCAGAACUGCAUGGCUCACAUACAGUAUGGCCAACUUGUGUUCGCCCCAGGGAGAAACGGGAAGCUUUGGCUGCACUUGACAGACAGAAACACACAUUAACCCUCCUCUGAGAAAGGUGUGGUGGCUCUGUGGCUCAGGAUCUGCUCCUGUGGCUGGAAGGUUGCCAGUUUGUAUCCCGUGGCCGGCAGAGGAAUCCUACUCCAUUGGGCCCCUGAGCAAGGCCAUUAACCCCAGCUGCUCCAGGGGUGCCGUAUAAACGGCUGACCCUGUGCUCUGACCCCCAGCUUCUCUCCCCGUCUGUGUGUCUCAUGGAGAGCAAGUUGGGGCAUGCAAAAAGACAAAUUCCUAAUGCGAGAAGUUGUAUGUAGCCAAUGAAGUGAUCACAUCAGACUGGAGCCAACAGGUUCCACUUGUUUCAUCGUUGUGCAAUGGCCAGCAUGAGGCAGGGACACCUGCUGAUACACGUAAGAAUGGAAGAAUCUAAGAAAGGCCACAAAAGAGAGAAGACUUUUUGGCCCGUCGAGCCCAUCUGUUAGUAAGAAGUUGAAAUAAACCAAGGUAUUCUAUCAGCUUCACUGACAUGGCUGGGUAGCUCGUUCCACACUCCCACAACCC
Molecule: long non-coding RNA, 1047 nt
Filed under: Lepisosteus oculatus (spotted gar)
Lineage: Eukaryota; Metazoa; Chordata; Actinopteri; Semionotiformes; Lepisosteidae
Description: lncRNA (ENSLOCG00000021017.1)
Source: RNAcentral